RNAcentral lists this transfer RNA (75 nucleotides) under Streptomyces subrutilus. RNAcentral describes it as "tRNA-Ala". It matches the Rfam family "tRNA". From Rfam's summary of the family: Transfer RNA (tRNA) molecules are approximately 80 nucleotides in length. Their secondary structure includes four short double-helical elements and three loops (D, anti-codon, and T loops). Lineage: Bacteria; Bacillati; Actinomycetota; Actinomycetes; Kitasatosporales; Streptomycetaceae. The record is from RNAcentral.
CGACGUGUAGCUCAGCAGCAGAGCGCCGGGCUUGCUUCCCGGAGGGCGCAGGGGCAGAACCUGCCACGUCGGCCA